Molecule: long non-coding RNA, 250 nt
Filed under: Phasianus colchicus (ring-necked pheasant)
Lineage: Eukaryota; Metazoa; Chordata; Aves; Galliformes; Phasianidae
Description: lncRNA (ENSPCLG00000002871.1)
Source: RNAcentral
UUGUCCUCCUCUUGUCCCCUCACAGCUCCUGUAAAAGCUCAGCUCACUGUGCACAAAAGAAUGAAAGAUUCAUGAACUGAAAGCACAGAAAGGGAAGAACAAGGCUCUGUAAUAGUGACAGGCAGAAUAAUAUGUAUUACAGCAUAAAUAAAUCCAGCAUCAAUCUACACCCGUGUCUUCACAGUGGUAAAAUGGACCAAUUGUAAUAAUUCCUCAGGUCUGAAAAAGAAUAUAGGAGUGCUAUUUUUUG